GAACUUAAGCAUAUCAAUAAGCGGAGGAAAAGAAACUAACAAGGAUUCCCCUAGUAACGGCGAGUGAAGCGGGAAGAGCUCAAAUUUGUAAUCUGGCACUUUCAGUGUCCGAGUUGUAAUCUCGAGAAGUGUUUUCCGCGCCGGACCGCAUACAAGUCUGUUGGAAUACAGCGUCAUAGUGGUGAGAACCCCGUAACUGAUGCGGAUGCCCGGUGCUUUGUGAUACACUUUCGAAGAGUCGAGUUGUUUGGGAAUGCAGCUCAAAUUGGGUGGUAAAUUCCAUCUAAAGCUAAAUAUUGGCGAGAGACCGAUAGCGAACAAGUACCGUGAGGGAAAGAUGAAAAGCACUUUGGAAAGAGAGUUAACAGUACGUGAAAUUGUUGGAAGGGAAACGCUUGAAGUCAGACUUGCUAUUUGGAAUUCAGCCGCAAGGUGUACUUUUCAAUUCGCAGGCCAGCAUCAGUUUUUCGGGGUGGAAAAGGGUAGAGAGAAGGUAGCAGUCUUGGCUGUGUUAUAGCUCUUUGCUGGAUUCAUCCUGGGGGACUGAGGAACGCAGCACGCUUUUUGCAAGGCUUUCGAGCUUUUCGUGCUUAGGAUGCUGGUGGAAUGGCUUUAAACGACCCGUCUUGAAACACGGACCAAGGAGUCUAACAUGCUUGCGAGUGUUUGGGUGUCAAACCCGGACGCGCAAUGAAAGUGAAUGGAGGUGGGAAGCGCAAGCUGCACCAUCGACCGAUCUGGAUUUUUUAAGAUGGAUUUGAGUAAGAGCAAUUAUGUUGGGACCCGAAA
Molecule: ribosomal RNA, 789 nt
Filed under: uncultured fungus
Lineage: Eukaryota; Fungi
Description: eukaryotic LSU rRNA
Rfam family: Eukaryotic large subunit ribosomal RNA
Source: RNAcentral